AAGAAAGGAAAAACUAGAACAAACCUUAGAUAAGAGAAUUUCAAGAAAAAUUAUGGAAAUUUCAAGGAAUCAUGAAAGAUAAGGUAUGAUUUUUCAAUUUUUGCUUGAGAUCUAGCAUACCCAUGCUUUAUUUUCUUAUUUCCAUGGCUGAAAAUUGAGUUGGCAUGAUGAAACCCAUGAAGGUCGAAUUCUAGAGAGAGAGAGAGAGAGAGUUUGGUGAUGGUUUGGUUGGAUUUUAAGUUAUAUGGAUGUUUUCAAUGAUUUAUGGUGUUUAGUGUAAGAAUCAAGCUUGAAAAUCACCCAUUCUUUAUGUGUUCUUCAUUGGCCAAAUUUUCUAGGGAAGAUAUUGUGGCUGAAAUUGAUGAUAUUUCAUGAUAUUUUGGUGAUAUUUGAUGUUUGGUGAGGCUAGAAAUUAAAUGGAAAAUUUUGGUGUGAAAAUUUGAAUUUUUGCUCAACGUAUAGAUAUGUGUGAUUAUUGACUUGGGACUGAUAAAUUGAAUCUCAUUCAUAGUCACUGAGGUAAUUUAGGUAUAAUUGGAGUGUAGAAAGUGAGAAGAAUUGAUUUGAAGUUAAAUUGGAGAUUUUAGCCGAUUAGACCGAGUAUAGUGUGACUUAGGUCGAAUAUCACAUUUAAGUGAUUGAUCGGACAUUUUGCAUCCCAUUGCAUGCAUUCAUUUAGAUUUAGAAAGCCUGAAAUAGUGUAUGAAAAAUUGACACAAAUUAUUGAAUUUUGUGUCAUGUGUGAUGUAUAAGUGGUGAGCUAUUUGAUAAGGAUAAAGAGAUUACACCAAAGACCGAGACUAGGAGUAUUUAUACUCCUGAUACUGUGAGUAAUCUUACUAUCGUCUUAAUUAUCUAAAGUGUUUUUUAUCCGGUUUUUUGAAUUUCAUGGAAAAUGAAUUAAAUGAUUAAAUUUUUUGAUUUUAUAAACAAAAUUUGAUUUAAUGAAAUGAUUUCAUAAAAUUGUUUUAAAAUUGAAUAAUGGCUUUUCAAAUAGAGUAAUUAGAGACCAUUUAAUGUAUUGUGAAUUUAUGGUUCUAAUUGAUUGGCUUAUGACAAUAUUGGCAUGAAUGGCUGAAUUGGUAUUUGUGUUGAAAUAUAUAAACUGUUGUUUGCCUUGAUAGGCUGGAUAAUGAUAAAAUUGCCCAUGUCAUGCUGUUGAAUUUUUAUUGUAUGGUGGGAUAUUGAUUAGCUUACUACAGUGGGCGAGUUUCCGUGAACCAGCCUAUUAUAGGGGCACGGUACACCCCGUUAUAUCUUACCUCAGUAUGAGAGGCACGGGUGGAUAACUCUUGAGGCUAACACUUUUAGAGUUCACAUCAUGCCAAGCCAUCACGUGAGGGUGAACUCAGCCAACGCCAAGGAACGGCUAUGUUUUCAAAAUAAAGGCAUAAUUUAUGCGUACAUGACUUUUUAAUAGCCUUGGCGGACUCAAUUGGGAUAGCCCUCGAUCAAGGCAUCCCUGAUAACUGAGUAUGAGAAUGAUUUUUGGCACGAGCCAAGCUUUUCAGGAAAUCAUAAGCCUAGUUGUUUAUUUGGUUGAAAUGAGUUGUAAGGUAAUGAAAUUACAAUAUGAUGACUUAUUUCAAUUGUCUCCAUUUACUCGACUUUAGAUGGUUUAGAUGGUAUUUGUUUACUCACUGGGAUUUUAUAAUCUCACCACCCUCAAUUCCCCACAUUUUAGGCUUGGGAUAGCUGGUAGAUAGCCGAUUGCAUCAAGGACUUUAGUUAGCCUUGCAUCGACAAAAUUGUAGGUUCACAGACUCGCACCUUAUUAGUUAGUUGGGAGCCCACGUGUCACUGUAAAAGAAAUUUUAUACUUCAAUUAUCUGAUUUAAAGUACGUAUGAAUAUACUUAGCUUUUACACUACAGAAAUUAUUUAUGGAUUUCUCUAUAAAUAUUAUUUUUUUUAGAAAAUAGAAUAUUUUAUUGAAUAUUAUUAUUUUAUUCAAACAAUUAUAAUUUCGUUCCAAAUAAUUAUUUUAGACAUCUAAAUUUACUUUUAAUUAUGAAACAUGUGUUUUUCACCCACACACCAUGUUUUUGGCGGGUUUCGGUAGUUUCGAAGAAAAAUAACGAAAUUGCCCCAAUGAGCCAGAAAAUAAUAUUAUAUUGUUUUGAUUUGGAAACGACUUGUGAUUUCUUGAAAUGCGAGAUUUAAUAACUGUCGUUCACCGGGAAGAUGCGGAAGCUAAUGCUAAGCCUUGUGGGGUUUCGAUCGGCAUUUCGAGUAAUGAGUGUCUAUCGGGACGUCGCGGCGGUUGUCAUGGGCCCGAUGGGAGUUUCGGGUCGUGACAGAUGAGACCUAAAUAACAAGAUAAAAGCAACAACAAAAAUCCCUCAUUAAACUAUUAAGUCAUAUGCUUCGCAUGAUUAAGUUGCCUUCCACCAUAUAACAAGAUAACCAAGCUACCCUUUUAAUUGAAGACUUGUUAAGCCACUCAAGGUCAAACAACAAAUGAUGGGUAAGUGUUUUAACUUUGAGAUCAUAAGUGGAAAGGAAAAAUAAAAAUGUGUAUUGAUUAUUUGUACUUGUUGCAACAAGGGUGACCGAGGAUGUGAGGAGUUCGUGAGUUGCAUGUGGAAUUUAAGGUAAAAAUCGGAAGGUAAAUAUGUAAUGUGGGCAUACUAUGUUAUAUUGGAGUUAAUUAGUUGAAAGUAUAUAGAUUUCAUGUUAAAUUAUUGUGAAUAAUAAGGGUGAAAAAUGUGAAAUUAGAUUAAAGAUUGAUUGAUUAAUGUGCUGCCUAUAUAUGUGUACAAUUGAAUAUAAAUACGAAAGUAGACAUAAUGAAAGAGGUAGAUUAUUUGUGAGGGAUUCUUGAAAAUAAAGAGAACUAAGAACAUGGUAUAUAGAACAGCAAAUAUGAGCUGAAUUGUGGUGAUGUUCACUAAGUAUAUUAAGUUUAAUUUGCUACUAGAAAGUGUAUAAGUGAGGAAGGAUUACCGUGGUGGUGUACCGAAAGAGGUAACGGGUGAUCGGCAAGUAGAAUUAGUUGAAGGCACACCCAAAUCAAUGGCGACAUAGUGACCCGCCAUUGUGAGGAGAGUAAGGGGUGUCUAUUUCAAAAGUUUCAUAAACUAUAUAAUGAUAUACGUAUAAUAAACAUUGUCGAUUUUCUUUAAAUACAAUUGUGAAUAGCAUGAGUUGUUAGCUUCGGUAGGUGAUUUUUAAAUGGAUUUGCAAUCGGAUUGCACUGUUUUUGUGGAAAGCAUGAGUUGGUAGAAUGCUAGGCACUUGUGAAUGCCAUGUUUUUAGAAACGUUUUGUAUAUAUAUAAGUUAUAUAUGUAAAGGGUUUUAAAACCCGUGAAACAAACUCUUUACCAUGAUUUAUGUCAAAACGUGCCUUACUUGUUUUUCUGAUGUGCAUUCAUGAAUAAGCUUUAUGUUCACCAUGCUUGGAUUUAAUAUUUCAACCUCAUGCAAAGGUUUUACAUAAUGAAUUCUUACAAAUGGAUUUAUAAUGUCACCGUGAUUGGUAUUUUGGAAAUAGAUUUAAAAUAAGCUUUUGAAAACCUAAUUUGGUUAUAAAUGGUUUUGUCAAACUAGGAGAUUUGAGAGUAGGCCGAAUGUCACAUUGGGAUAGUAUGACCCUUGUGUAUAAGUGAGCUCUAGCUAGAGAACCUUUGAAUCACCGACAGGCUAUUAGAUGUGGCUAGGCCACAGUCUAUGAUAUAUAUACGUGGCAAGGCCACAGGUUGAUAUAUGUGGUUACGACUACAUGAUUUCUUCGAUGUCGGCCAACAUCAUCGAGACUGCCAUGAUUGUGGGAAUCUGGUGGAGGAUGGCAUCUCGGAUGUUAUUAUGUGGAAGUGGGUCUACGGGUUGAUAAUUACGAUUACCUACUCGAGAGUGAUAUCUCUUUGCGUUUUCAAACACGAAUUCUUUUGCAUGGUGAGAAAUGCAGGUUUUUUCAUAGCUCCUUUAUUGAUAAGAUGAUUUUGCGUUUAAUACCUCAAGGAUAGAUUGUUUAUAAGCUUGUGUAUAAGCAUUGAUAAUGCUUGAUUUUACGGGAGUGUACGUGCUUAUGUUAGUUUGAUUUUAAGUAAAGGACAUUAAAUGAUUUCAACGGUAGAAAUCUUUUACUUGCACUGGUUUUAAUACAUUACUUGAAAUGGUUAUUUUGCAUCACAAUUCUUAGGUUUAGAUGUAAG
RNAcentral lists this long non-coding RNA (4154 nucleotides) under Theobroma cacao (cacao). Its description in RNAcentral is "long non-coding RNA (TCAC_LNC004964)". The record is from RNAcentral. Lineage: Eukaryota; Viridiplantae; Streptophyta; Magnoliopsida; Malvales; Malvaceae.